CUCCCCCACACCCCCGCCCCCUGCCCUUCCCGAGGGCAGCAGCCGUGGCCCGGAGAUAAGCGCUAGCGCGGCGCAGGGCUCUGCCUGGGCUAGUGGCACCGACUUGGGCAGAAACUCUUAAAAUCCUGGCAGCCAAGAGGGAAGUAACCUGGGGGAAAUGGACACAAGUCCAGGCAGCGAAGUGGGAUGCGCUGGGCUCAGGUACGUACUAGGGUGCCUAGAAACCUGGGUCUCCAGCUUUUCUAUGCCUACUUCAUAGUACAGACGGGCAGCUCACUCACAGGAAAAGACAGAUAAAACUCUGACCCCAACACAAACCGACAUCUAUAAUGUUUUCUUCUCUAAUUAGUGGUAUGCAGGGACACUGAGCAAAGGAAAGGCCUGGGUGUGCCCCCACAACUUUAAGGAGGAUGGUCUUUCUCUCUUCUAAUGCCUCCCUCUACUCUCCAGCGAACUCUGCAAGGGUAUGUGUGUGGCAAAAAGAGAAAUGGAGCUUUCAUGCAAUUCCAAGGUGUCAACGGCCAGUCCUUCUCAAAGGAAGGUGUUAAAAAUAUAAGUAGUAUGUUUAAACUGUCAGGGAGCCAAAGUGUCACCUUAAAGCAAAAACAAAGCCAAGGGAAAAGGGAGAAAUCAAAAAGCACUCCUGGCCAGGGUGGCCUCAUGCAUACCAAUGGUUUUUGUCAUUUAUGGCUGGGCAAGAUUUAUGACUCGGCGCCCCAAAGCUGUAAACAGAGCACAAAACAGCAAACACUUGCUCCUUAUGGCAUAUUGCGGCAGCGCAACUUAAAAGGGGGAGCCGGGCGGCGUAGGAGGUGAGAGCCGCCGCAAAAAUCGCUCGGCUGCAUUUUCUCUUCAAACUGGCCUGGUCGGAUGUGGCAUUUGAAGAAAGAAGGCGUGGGUCAAUAAUCAACCCGCACUUUCUCCUCCAAACUGCUGACACGACUCUCACCGCCUUCUCAGCUAAGCCAGCUGCAGGGAAGGCCAGCUUUCCGUGAGAACCUGCCAGGGGAGGGGACCGCCUGGGCCAAGAGGGCCGAGGGUUCCGAGGUGAGGGCUGGGGCAUCUGGGGCGCAUACCUUUUCACCCGCACCAAGACUGUGCCGGGCAAAAUGCUGGGACUGGACUUGAAGAGCCAUGGGAGUUGAGGGAGAGCUGGGGUGGGAGCUUGGGACAGGGUCUCUGCUGGAUGGUCCCAGACUAGAUGGCUUCCGGGCAGCUGGCUGCAGUGGGCACAAAUCUGGCUCUGACCUCAAGACUGGUCUCACACCCUGGCAUGCAGACCUCCGGGUUUGGGCCUCUCUGCUGAAAUCCACAGGACUGGCUUUUAGAGCAAGGCAGGCGAUGUGAUUAAAGGUAAUAAUUUAUGAUUGCUGAAGGUUCUGUGUUACUGUUUUUUAAGAGAAAAAUACCGCCUGCCGAUUUUCACUGCCAGAAAUUGCCCACUGCUGCGGCUGCGGUGUCUUUUCUAGGCAAAUCCCGCAGCCAUUCACCCUGCUCAGCCAAAACCACUGAGGUUAUCUUUGUGGAAAGGACCCCUUUGCUCCCCCCAACCCCCCUCCUCAGUCCCUGUGCUCCCUUAUGUCUUGCCCACGGGACUAGAAGAAAACAUUUUCCCAGUGCUAGAAAAAUAUCUGAAAUAGCGAAGGUGUGCUUGUGCCUCUCUACCCUUUGCAGGGGCCUCCUUGAGAACAGGUCUGCGGGUUGGGGCGGGGGGGGGGGGCGCUGGGGUCCCUGCAAGGCUGUCUAUAAGCCAGGGAGGAAGGUAAGGCACAAGAGGCACUGAAAUCUGGGAAUGGAGAGGAAAAUUAAUGAGGAAAUACACUUGCCUGUGAGGGUGAGGCUGGCAUUUUGAGGGUAAAAGGGGACUAGCCUGUUUUUUAUAGCUGUAGUUUAGCUAUUAUGGAGUGGCUUUAGCUCCUUGCGUGAAGGAAAAGCCAACUGGUGCUCUAUAAACUGGACUACUGGUUUCUUUUCACUGUGCACACUUUUAUACAGAACCAUUUUGAGAGUCCAUCCCUAGAUAUUUAUUCUGCUGGCUGGCACUGAAGUGACAAUAAAAAGAUGCCUUUAACAAACCUCUAUUCCCUCUCUCAUUCUUUCUAGCGAAACUAUAUUAUUUAUGAGUCUUUAACUGGGUCAAAAAUGCGCCAGAACUGGGUCAUAAAUCAUAUGAAAUGCUGACAAGUAAUUGAACAGCAAUUAAAGCUUACAUUUUAUUUCCAAGGGGUGUUUUAGGGCACUUGAAACCGCCUCAGUUAAACACGGUUAGCGCCCGAGGACGGCGGCGGGGGAGGGUAGAAGCAGCCUUUCCCUUCUGGGGAUGUAAAUCCCUCUCAAGUAGGGGAAACCUGAUUUGAUUUUUUUUUUCAAGUACAGAAAGAAAUAAGAUUUUUUUUUUUGUUUAAGUCACGGAGAAAAUCUGAUUCCCGACUCCUUGUAGACACCCCUUUCCUCCACCCCAAGAUCUCCAAGAGCAGAGAAAAGUGAAGUUUCCUUCACCGUUUCAGGGAGUUUUCAUCCUUCCCAGGAGUGCUGGGUCUCCAAAGUGCAAUUAGCACAGGCUUUCCCAGUAAUUUGCAAGCAUGGUUUAUCUCUCAUCUGCUUCUAUCCUGGCUACAGCACUGUUUCUGGGGUCUGAAGCCGGAGAAAUGUCUGCCUCUGCUUCCUGCGGACUCUGCCUGGAAUUCUCUCUAGCCCAGGGUGCACCAGCCAGUCCUUAAAACUCUGCAAGCCAGCUGGGUGCAUUACAAUGGGGCAUACAGGCCAUGCACAUUAUGAAGCCCAAACCCAGUUCUGGCUCCCGAAAUUUAGACUAACAGAGCUUCUGGGCGUCGGGCACGCUUACCCCUAUCCUAAGCCUCUCCUAGAUCUGAACUGUCUUCACCCCUACCCGGGUAGAGUACUGGGGAAACAAUGGCGCGUCCUCCGUCCUCCGGGUCUUGCACCUUCGGUCCCGCGCGUGGGAAAGCGCGUCCUCCAACCAACCCAGCACUGAACAAAGUGGCCUGAAGCAUCAUCAAUAAAAUGGCAGCGCGUCUGCACACUCAUUGA
Molecule: long non-coding RNA, 3051 nt
Organism: Felis catus (domestic cat)
Lineage: Eukaryota; Metazoa; Chordata; Mammalia; Carnivora; Felidae
Exons: 2
Source: RefSeq, a predicted model, not a curated record